RNAcentral lists this ribosomal RNA (230 nucleotides) under uncultured archaeon. RNAcentral describes it as "partial 16S ribosomal RNA". It matches the Rfam family "Archaeal small subunit ribosomal RNA", at positions 23 to 246 of the family's 1478-position model. The record is from RNAcentral.
GCCACUGCUGUUGGGGUUCGGCUAAGCCAUGCGAGUGGAGGGCGCGGUCGAAAGAUCGUGGCCCCGCACACGGCUCAGUAACACGUAGUCAACCCACCUUAGGGUGGGGGACAACCUCGAGAAACUGAGGAUAAUCCCCCAUAGGCGGGGGAGGCUGGAAUGCGCCCCCGCUGAAAGCUCAGGCGCCCUAGGACGGGACGGCGGCCUAUCAGGUAGUUGGUGGUGUGACG